AUUGAACGCUGGCGGCAUGCCUUACACAUGCAAGUCGAACGGUAACGGGCCUUCGGGCGCCGACGAGUGGCGAACGGGUGAGUAAUGCAUCGGAACGUACCUUUCAGUGGGGGAUAACGUAGCGAAAGUUACGCUAAUACCGCAUAUUCUGUGAGCAGGAAAGCAGGGGAUCGCAAGACCUUGCGCUGAUUGAGCGGCCGAUGUCAGAUUAGCUAGUUGGUGAGGUAAAGGCUCACCAAGGCGACGAUCUGUAGCGGGUCUGAGAGGAUGAUCCGCCACACUGGAACUGAGACACGGUCCAGACUCCUACGGGAGGCAGCAGUGGGGAAUUUUGGACAAUGGGGGCAACCCUGAUCCAGCCAUGCCGCGUGAGUGAAGAAGGCCUCGGUU
Molecule: ribosomal RNA, 390 nt
Filed under: uncultured bacterium
Lineage: Bacteria
Description: bacterial SSU rRNA
Rfam family: Bacterial small subunit ribosomal RNA
Source: RNAcentral